Molecule: non-coding RNA, 119 nt
Organism: Arthrobacter alpinus
Lineage: Bacteria; Bacillati; Actinomycetota; Actinomycetes; Micrococcales; Micrococcaceae
Source: Rfam
GGAUUGCUCUUAGAUGAGAUCUCCAGCCGCCCAGCAAUGACCAACCUGGCUCACUUCCCCGGAGCCAGGCGGGACAGAGCUCGGCGCGGAGGGGGAUCUGGUCCAAGAGCAGCAGUCCU